This 469-nucleotide ribosomal RNA is filed under the name Aegla sp. 2 BLZ-2019. RNAcentral's name for it is "partial 16S ribosomal RNA". It matches the Rfam family "Bacterial large subunit ribosomal RNA", at positions 1932 to 2601 of the family's 2925-position model. The record is from RNAcentral. Lineage: Eukaryota; Metazoa; Arthropoda; Malacostraca; Decapoda; Aeglidae.
CGCGGUAUUUUGACUGUGCAAAGGUAGCAUAAUCAUUUGUCUUUUAAUUGAAGACUUGUAUGAAUGGUUGAACGAGAAAAUAACUGUCUCUUUAAAAAAUCUUGAAUUUUACUUUUAAGUGAAAAGGCUUAAAUAAUUUUAAGGGACGAUAAGACCCUAUAAAUCUUUAUACUAUUUUUCUUUAAAUUUCAAACUAUAUAUUAAAAGAAAAAAAAAGAAAAAAAAUAUUAUAUUGGGGAGAUAAAAAUAUAAUUUUUAACUGUUUUAAAAAUAAAACAAUAAUUUUUGAUUAAAAAAAAAUUGAUCCUUUUUAAAGAUUUAAAGACUAAGUUACUUUAGGGAUAACAGCGUAAUUUUUUUUGAGAGUUCUUAUCGAAAUAAAAGUUUGCGACCUCGAUGUUGAAUUAAAAUAUCCUUAUAAGUGUAGAAGCUAUAAAGGAAAGUCUGUUCGACUUUUAAAAUUUUACAU